AAAGUCUAACCUGCCCAAUGAAUAUUAAAAAUUUAAAUGGCUGCGGUACCCUGACCGUGCAAAGGUAGCAUAAUAAUUAGUUUUUUAAUUGAGAACUAGAAUGAAUGGUUGGACGAGAAAAAAACUGUCUCAAUUUAAUUUUUAUUAGAAUUUAAUUUUUAAGUUAAAAAGCUUAAAUAUAUUUAAAAGACGAGAAGACCCUAUAGAGUUUUAUAUUAAAUUUUAUAUUUAAUUUGAAGUAUAAUUAUAUUUGAAAUAUAUUAUUUAGUAUUUUAUUGGGGCGAUAGAAAAAUUGAAUAAACUUUUUUUAAAUUAUAACAUUAAUGUAUGAGUUAGUGAUCCA
RNAcentral lists this ribosomal RNA (343 nucleotides) under Coptorhina nitidipennis. Its description in RNAcentral is "partial 16S ribosomal RNA". Lineage: Eukaryota; Metazoa; Arthropoda; Insecta; Coleoptera; Scarabaeidae. The record is from RNAcentral.